Molecule: ribosomal RNA, 253 nt
Filed under: uncultured bacterium
Lineage: Bacteria
Description: partial 16S ribosomal RNA
Rfam family: Bacterial small subunit ribosomal RNA
Source: RNAcentral
UACGUAGGGUGCAAGCGUUGUCCGGAAUUAUUGGGCGUAAAGAGCUCGUAGGCGGUCUGUCACGUCGGGAGUGAAAACACGGGGCUUAACCCCGUGCCUGCUUCCGAUACGGGCAGACUAGAGGUAUGCAGGGGAGAACGGAAUUCCUGGUGUAGCGGUGAAAUGCGCAGAUAUCAGGAGGAACACCGGUGGCGAAGGCGGUUCUCUGGGCAUUACCUGACGCUGAGGAGCGAAAGUGUGGGGAGCGAACAGG